UAUAUUUUUUAUAAAAUAAAUUUUUAGUUAGUCCCUUCAUACAAGUUACCAAUCUCAAGUAGCUAAUGAUUUCGCUACCUUAGA
RNAcentral lists this ribosomal RNA (84 nucleotides) under Sarcoptes scabiei. RNAcentral's name for it is "partial large subunit ribosomal RNA". The record is from RNAcentral. Lineage: Eukaryota; Metazoa; Arthropoda; Arachnida; Sarcoptiformes; Sarcoptidae.